UUUGUUUGACAAUUCAGCAGUGGGUUCUGUCAACAAGUAUACUCCUGCGAACAGAAAAACUCGUCCGACAAACAACUUUGUUAGUCCGAUUCGUUUGAUGUUGGAUCGAAUCAACGAUAUGGUCGGACGUCGCACCCCUCGGAGUAACGUCAGAAUAAGUAAACAAGAAAUAAUCAGCUGAUCAGAAACGUCUCAUGGAUUGCCUAAUUGACAUUUUGUUCUACGCUACUCGCCGUAGCUGUGUACUGUAAAAAGUGUAGCAGCACGAACACAUAGAAACAAAAGUUUUCUACUUUAAAUUUAAAAUUAAAAACGAAGUUUUAAGUUGAGUGGUUUUAUUCAUUUCGUUCCUUCAGUGGCUAAAAUUGAUCAACAUGCCGUUUAAAAUUAUUCAAACGGUUGAAAAUGGCUUUUGCACUUGACGAUCCAUCAGACAUGAUCGUUUACGAGGAAAACAUAUCCUCAAACACCGAUGUUGAAGUAACCCAACCUAGCGACGUUGAACGUAAUAUUCCAGUUGGGACCGUACCCCCACUCCUCUCCACAGCCGUGUGAAAACGAGAAUUCGACAUUUACCGACCUGGGAUAAGCCAAUUUAUGUAACAUUGAUUCAAUAAUUACCG
RNA transcript from Topomyia yanbarensis, 623 nucleotides. RefSeq lists it as uncharacterized. The transcript has 2 exons. NCBI's taxonomy places the organism in Eukaryota, Metazoa, Arthropoda, Insecta, Diptera, Culicidae. The record is from RefSeq and is a predicted model, not a curated record.